GAUGAACGCUGGCGGCGUGCCUAAUACAUGCAAGUAGAACGCUGAAGGAGGAGCUUGCUCUUCUGGAUGAGUUGCGAACGGGUGAGUAACGCGUAGGUAACCUGCCUGGUAGCGGGGGAUAACUAUUGGAAACGAUAGCUAAUACCGCAUGACAACAGUUAUUGCAUGAUAACUGUUUAAAAGGGGCAACUGCUCCACUACCAGAUGGACCUGCGUUGUAUUAGCUAGUUGGUGAGGUAACGGCUCACCAAGGCAACGAUACAUAGCCGACCUGAGAGGGUGAUCGGCCACACUGGGACUGAGACACGGCCCAGACUCCUACGGGAGGCAGCAGUAGGGAAUCUUCGGCAAUGGACGGAAGUCUGACCGAGCAACGCCGCGUGAGUGAAGAAGGUUGUCGGAUCGUAAAGCUCUGUUGUAAGAGAAGAACGAGUGUGAGAGUGGAAAGUUCACACUGUGACGGUAGCUUACCAGAAAGGGACGGCUAACUACGUG
This 495-nucleotide ribosomal RNA is filed under the name uncultured bacterium. Its description in RNAcentral is "partial 16S ribosomal RNA". It matches the Rfam family "Bacterial small subunit ribosomal RNA", at positions 28 to 507 of the family's 1533-position model. The record is from RNAcentral.